GACGAACGCUGGCGGCGUGCCUAAUACAUGCAAGUGGGACGCAAGGAAACACACUGUGCUUGCACACCGUGUUUUCUUGAGUCGCGAACGGGUGAGUAACGCGUAGGUAACCUGCCUAUUAGCGGGGGAUAACUAUUGGAAACGAUAGCUAAUACCGCAUAAUAUUAAUUAUUGCAUGAUAAUUGAUUGAAAGAUGCAAGCGCAUCACUAGUAGAUGGACCUGCGUUGUAUUAGCUAGUUGGUAAGGUAAGAGCUUACCAAGGCGACGAUACAUAGCCGACCUGAGAGGGUGAUCGGCCACACUGGGACUGAGACACGGCCCAGACUCCUACGGGAGGCAGCAGUAGGGAAUCUUCGGCAAUGGACGAAAGUCUGACCGAGCAACGCCGCGUGAGUGAAGAAGGUUUUCGGAUCGUAAAGCUCUGUUGUAAGUCAAGAACGUGUGUGAGAGUGGAAAGUCACACAAGGG
Molecule: ribosomal RNA, 469 nt
Filed under: Streptococcus mutans
Lineage: Bacteria; Bacillati; Bacillota; Bacilli; Lactobacillales; Streptococcaceae
Description: bacterial SSU rRNA
Rfam family: Bacterial small subunit ribosomal RNA
Source: RNAcentral